This 1005-nucleotide long non-coding RNA is filed under the name Oreochromis niloticus (Nile tilapia). Its description in RNAcentral is "lncRNA (ENSONIG00000038967.1)". Lineage: Eukaryota; Metazoa; Chordata; Actinopteri; Cichliformes; Cichlidae. The record is from RNAcentral.
AUGGCCUGCAAUGACUUUGCCAAAUUCUUCACAGAAAAAAUCCAAAAAAUUAGACAAGCAAUUGGUACAUCAACAGCAGAUUCAGGAUAUAUACUGUGUCCACCGAAAAACUGUUUAAACACCAUGAAACAGUUUCACCCUAUUAACAAGAAAGACCUGGAGGACAUCUUAGGCCAACUGAACUCCUCCUCUUGCUGUUUAGAUGUCCUGCCAACAAGUUUUUUCAAAAAGGUCUCAAAUACUUUGGAGUCAGACCUGUUACAGAUCGUCAACUUAUCUUUAAUGUCAGCUCUGUUUCCAAAAUCACUAAAAACUGCUGUAAUAAAACCUAUACUGAAAAAUGACAAUCUUGACAAGACACUUCAAUCUAUAUACCUAAAAACCACAAACCAGGCGAGAGAUUUGGGUGUAGUGAUGGAUGCAGACCUAAACUUAGAAAAACACAUUAAGACAAUAACAAAAUCAGCUUACUAUCACCUCAAGAAUAUUUCAAGGAUAAAAGAUCUGAUGUCUCAACAGGACCUGGAAAAACUAGUCCAUGCAUUCAUCUUUAGUAGGCUUGAUUACUGUAACAGCAUCUUUACAGGUCUACCUAAAAAAUCAGUCAGACAACUACAGCUCAUUCAGAACUCUGCUGCUCGAGUCCUCACUAAGACCAAAAAAGUGGACCACAUCAGUCCAGCUCUGAGGUCUUUACACUGGCUGCCUGUCCGUCAGAGGAUAGACUUUAAAGUUCUGAUGCUGGUCUAUAAAGCUCUGAAUGGUUUAGGACCAAAAUACAUCAGUGACCUCCUGACCCAGUAUGAACCUUACAGAUCUCUCAGGUCAUCUGGAUCCAGUCUUUUAUCAGUUCCCAGAGUCAGAACCAGACAUGGAGAAGCUGCAUUCAGCUUUUAUGCUCCUUAUAUCUGGAACAAACUCCCAGAAAGCCUCAGAUCAGCUGAAACACUCAGUUUAUUUAAAUCCAGGUUGAAGACUCACCUGUUCUCAGCUGCAUUUGAAUAA